GCGUCCGCUAGAUGGCGCUGCUCCGUGCAUCCCGAUAGGCCCCGCCUGCCGCUGGGCGGGCGCCGGAAGGAUGGGGAAGGACCGGGAAGGACCGGAAGGCCCUGGGGUCGCGGGUUCAGGCCGUAGCGCCGCCUCUGGGGCUGAUUCGGGCCCGCCCUGCGGCUGCGUUCGGCCCUUGGGAGCUAGAGCCACUUUUCAGCUGCCGCUGGCUCCCAUCUCAGCGCUUUUGCACCGAGAGUCGGUGUUUUUGCACGCUUCUCCCAGGUCAUCCAAUCAAAAGCCUCUGCUCCACCGGGCCAACCCACAGAGCGGCCAGCGAUCCCCCUGCGGCCUUGGCAAGAGACCUUUAAAGAUGCAGGUGGAACCCGGAGAAAGCCACGCAGAGAAGCCGGGCCAGUGUUUGACCAACUGUGCCUGGAACUGGGCCAGGGAGAGGAAGUUACAGAGGGUUUGCAAAAUAACUUCCCCUCGCUUCUGAAGGCAGUUCCUUGGCCAAGGAUCAGAUCCGAGCCCCAGUUUUGACCUACACUGCAGCUGCGGCAACACCGGAUCCUUAACCCACUGCCUGACAAGGGAUCUUGCUGUUUGUUUGUUUGUUUAAGGGCUCUUCUGUCUUCCCCCAAAACUU
This 628-nucleotide long non-coding RNA is filed under the name Sus scrofa (pig). RNAcentral's name for it is "lncRNA (ENSSSCG00030034200.1)". Lineage: Eukaryota; Metazoa; Chordata; Mammalia; Artiodactyla; Suidae. The record is from RNAcentral.